This 37-nucleotide transfer RNA is filed under the name Echinococcus ortleppi. Its description in RNAcentral is "partial tRNA-Ile". The record is from RNAcentral. Lineage: Eukaryota; Metazoa; Platyhelminthes; Cestoda; Cyclophyllidea; Taeniidae.
UUUGAUAUAGUAAAUUGUGAAUUUAUUUUCCGUUAAU